Molecule: non-coding RNA, 108 nt
Organism: Acanthosepion pharaonis
Lineage: Eukaryota; Metazoa; Mollusca; Cephalopoda; Sepiida; Sepiidae
Source: the annotation of a GenBank genome assembly
CUACAUCACGUUGAAUCACCGGUUGCCGUAUGAUCACCGAAGUUAAGCAACGUCGAAUCUGGUCAGUAACUAGAUGGGUGACUGCUUAGGCAUACUAGGUGCUGUAAG